This is a non-coding RNA of Labrus bergylta (ballan wrasse), 306 nucleotides long. The record is from RefSeq and is a predicted model, not a curated record. NCBI's taxonomy places the organism in Eukaryota, Metazoa, Chordata, Actinopteri, Labriformes, Labridae.
CCGUUGCUACACGCUAACAGACACUUUAAGUCAUUAAUUGAAGCAGUCAGUCUACCAAACAGAAACAAAAUGAGGGAAAUUGUGCAUCUCCAGGCCGGCCAGUGCGGAAACCAGAUUGGUGCCAAGUUUUGGGAGGUGAUCAGUGAUGAGCACGGCCUUGACCCAACUGGCACACACCACGGUGACAGUGACCUGCAGCUUGACAGGAUCAAUGUCUACUACAAUGAAGCCACAGAUCAAAGAAGGUGAAGAGAGACAGGCUGAGAGCAGCGAGAGACAGGUUUCAGAUGAGCAGGUAGGAAUGGU